Molecule: ribosomal RNA, 433 nt
Filed under: uncultured bacterium
Lineage: Bacteria
Description: partial 16S ribosomal RNA
Rfam family: Bacterial small subunit ribosomal RNA
Source: RNAcentral
AACGAACGCUGGCGGCAUGCCUAACACAUGCCAGUCGAACGAGACCUUCGGGUCUAGUGGCGCACAGGUGCGUAACGCGUGGGAACCUGCCCUUAGGUUCGGAAUAACUCCCCGAAAGGGGUGCUAAUACCGGAUAAUGUCUUCGGACCAAAGAUUUAUCGCCUUUGGAUGGGCCCGCGUUGGAUUAGCUAGUUGGUAGGGUAAAAGCCUACCAAGGCGACGAUCCAUAGCUGGUCUGAGAGGAUGAUCAGCCACACUGGGACUGAGACACGGCCCAGACUCCUACGGGAGGCAGCAGUGGGGAAUAUUGGACAAUGGGCGAAAGCCUGAUCCAGCAAUGCCGCGUGAGUGAUGAAGGCCUUAGGGUUGUAAAGCUCUUUUACCCGGGAUGAUAAUGACAGUACCGGGAGAAUAAGCUCCGGCUAACUCCGUG